Molecule: ribosomal RNA, 324 nt
Filed under: uncultured bacterium
Lineage: Bacteria
Description: bacterial SSU rRNA
Rfam family: Bacterial small subunit ribosomal RNA
Source: RNAcentral
GCCGCGUGAGCGAAGAAGGCCUUCGGGUCGUAAAGCUAUGUCCAGGGGGAAGAACAAAUGACGGUACCCCUGUACGAGCCCCGGCUAACUACGUGCCAGCAGCCGCGGUAACACGUAGGGGGCAAGCGUUGUCCGGAAUUACUGGGCGUAAAGCGCGCGUAGGCGGCCUAAUAAGUCAGUGGUGAAAACCGGCGGCUCAACCGCAGGCUUGCCUCUGAAACUGUAAGGCUUGAGGACAGGAGAGGAGAGUGGAAUUCCCAGUGUAGCGGUGAAAUGCGUAGAUAUUGGGAGGAACACCAGUGGCGAAGGCGACUCUCUGGCCUG